Molecule: transfer RNA, 64 nt
Filed under: Phrynosoma sherbrookei
Lineage: Eukaryota; Metazoa; Chordata; Lepidosauria; Squamata; Phrynosomatidae
Description: tRNA-Arg
Source: RNAcentral
UAGGCGUUAGUCUAAACAAGACAGUUGAUUUCGACUCAACAAAUUUGGAACUAUCCAAACGCCU